Molecule: long non-coding RNA, 1774 nt
Organism: Siniperca chuatsi (mandarin fish)
Lineage: Eukaryota; Metazoa; Chordata; Actinopteri; Centrarchiformes; Sinipercidae
Exons: 2
Source: RefSeq, a predicted model, not a curated record
CUAUAAUACUAACUAACUAGCUCUACACUGCAAUACAAGAACAAUGCUUCUUUAUUUCCAUGUGUUCGACAUGAUCAUCAACUGGUGAAGAUGCUAACUUUGCGCGGGACAUGUUAACUUUAGCCUCAGUCUUUUAGCACAAUAUCAUGUGGGUAGUCAUCAAGUACAUAUUCAAGACCCCUUCUUCAGUAUUCUUGUUUUAAAAUGAGUCAGCUGGAAACAUUAAACAGUCUGCUGCAGACAAUUCAUGGAGCCAAUGUUAGCUUACUUAGCUAACUGCUUGCUAUCUACAGCUGACAAAAUCUGACAAAAUCUUGCUGGCUAUAAAUGAGAAGUUUCUUUUGUGUACAUACGGCGGUACUCAAGGACCUAUUGUUUCCAAACUUACUAAAAUAUCUGAUGGUAAAUCUGCCACUAUUAUCACAACUAUUUCAUGCUAAAACGGAAAGUCGUUUUAUCACUUUCUUGUUAUAAUAAAGUCACUUGGCUCUGUUUUUUCCAACUGAUACAUUUUAUUCUAACAUCAUGAUCCGGUCAUUACCCCGCCCUCAUCCUCUCCUUCUGAGUAAAGAGAGUGAUUUGUUUCCUCUCCACUUGAGUAUGUCAAAACUAGAAACAUUAUCGUUAUCAGGAAGGAGCUAUGGAUAAUCAUCAUGCAUUCUUUGCUGAUUAAGACUCGAUGAGGGCGGGUUAUGUCUGUAUCUGGAAAUACAGGUCACGCUGUUUUUUCCCUGUUAAAGUGGGGGUGACCUACAACCCAGUGCUGUGCCUGAACACAUCCUGUGUUGACUCAGACGGACCACUGAAUCUGCCGUUGCUGCUCUGCUCACAGGCUUCUCACAUUACGCCGCCUGUUUAGACACGGUUUUAGUGGUGGUUGGCAUUCUGGGAGUCUUGGAUCCUGGAUGAGAUGAGACUUGUUUGGCCCCUGAAACCCUCCUGUCUCCUGGUUUAGUUGGCCCUUGUCUUUUCAGAGGUCUCCAUGUUGGCACCGGGAUGUAAAAGUGUUUGCCCACAGUGGUAGUACACUUAACUCAGCUUUUCAGCAUUUUGCUCUUUCUAUUUUUCCCACACUCCCUCCCUCCCCUCCUGCCUCUGUCAGCGUUUGUCCCUUUUAUAAUGGUCUUAGCCAGUAUGCAGCUGUAGAGCUUGAUUUUGCCUGUCUCCAGCAGCACUCAGCUGACCCACUAAUAGAGGGGUUGUAUGAGGAAAGGCCGGAGGCAGCAGAAGGACUGCAGAGCUGUGGCUUAAAACAACCCACCUCCGACAAACAGCGUGGACCUCCCGCAGAGAGAAGCUUUGAGGAAAAACAGAAAAACCCUCAGUCAGAAGAAAAGGAAACAUGAAAUAAGGCCAGAGUGCAGCAACAUCACCUGCGGACAGCAGUAAAUCUCUACAGCUGAGCUGUAUUCUUAUGCCUCAAGCAUCUCUGAACUAUAUUUUUGAAAUGACCCUGAGUGACUUUGGACAUGACGCGGUACUUUGUCAAGAUGGCAUCAUAACCUGAGGAGCUGGUCCCUUAAGCUUUUAGUGUUCGUCCUUGCUGCCCAUACUACAGACUGAAAAGGAUGCUCUUAUUCAUAAGUGACAACACAACAAGGUUAAGGCUGACAGACAUCUUCAGAGCUUUAUCCUGCUUGUCCUUUACUCUGCGUAUGAUUGACAAGGACAAGUUAUAAGAGCAUACGUUUUUUUUUCUAUUAAAAAAUUGUGUUGAGAACAUUUGUUGCUUACAAAAUUUACAAAAUGAAAAAGAAUAAACAGAAAUGAAACA